AAUAAGAACUCAAUAAGAAGAGAAAAGAAACCUGAACGAGAACAUAAACCUGACCGGAGGGAAAACGAUUGACAGGACUAACGUUAAAUCGAAUGGAUUGAAGACAUCCAGAAGACAAAACUUCAAACAGAACUGCAACUUUCUGAACUGCCUGUACUGCAUCGAAUGCUGGCUUCGGUCAGGUUUUUUUUUUAGU
Long non-coding RNA from Alosa alosa (allis shad), 196 nucleotides. RefSeq lists it as uncharacterized. The record is from RefSeq and is a predicted model, not a curated record. Lineage: Eukaryota; Metazoa; Chordata; Actinopteri; Clupeiformes; Clupeidae. The transcript has 4 exons.